ACGCGUGGAACCUUACCAGGUCUUGACAUCCCGGUGACCACUAUGGAGACAUAGUUUCCCCUUCGGGGGCAACGGUGACAGGUGGUGCAUGGUUGUCGUCAGCUCGUGUCGUGAGAUGUUGGGUUAAGUCCCGCAACGAGCGCAACCCUUAUUCUUAGUUGCCAUCAUUCAGUUGGGCACUCUAAGGAGACUGCCGGUGAUAAACCGGAGGAAGGUGGGGAUGACGUCAAAUCAUCAUGCCCCUUAUGACCUGGGCUACACACGUGCUACAAUGGACGGUACAAACGGUUGCGAAGUCGCGAGAUGGAGCUAAUCUGAUAAAACCGUUCUCAGUUCGGAUUGUAGGCUGCAACUCGCCUACAUGAAGCUGGAAUCGCUAGUAAUCGCGGAUCAGCAUGCCGCGGUGAAUACGUUCCCGGGCCUUGCACACACCGCCCGU
RNAcentral lists this ribosomal RNA (439 nucleotides) under uncultured bacterium. Its description in RNAcentral is "bacterial SSU rRNA". It matches the Rfam family "Bacterial small subunit ribosomal RNA", at positions 959 to 1397 of the family's 1533-position model. The record is from RNAcentral.